Mya arenaria is the source of this 2533-nucleotide long non-coding RNA. RefSeq lists it as uncharacterized. The transcript is spliced from 6 exons. The record is from RefSeq and is a predicted model, not a curated record. Lineage: Eukaryota; Metazoa; Mollusca; Bivalvia; Myida; Myidae.
AUACAGUGCAUCAGAAGGGACAGUACACACCAUCUUUCAUUCCCACCAUUCUUUGUGAAGAGGAAUCCAAAUGUUCUUUGGCCUGAUCGAGUUCUUAUGGGUGCCUUGAGCCAUCCUAGGAGGCAUCCCAAGUAACAACAUUAAGAACGUAUAAAUGUUUGAACUGUGCAGACUUCUUGUUGUGAGAAAAAAAGCCUGCAGCCAAUGAGAUAGAAAUGGAGAGAAGGGCAAUAGCAGCUUGCACACGUCAAGGAUCUGCAGCGCAUGAAACCCCUUAAACUGAAGAUGAUGUUCCUGAAGCCUAGAGAUGUCAGCACUCGCAGUCAGCCGCUUUAUCAUCCAUUGCUCCAUUAACCUCAUCCACCUGGUCAACACAAUUCAAACAUACCAGAUACAGACUCAGUUAAAACAGAUAUGGGUGCAAGUCAUGACACUUUUACAGAUUAAAGAUGUCCGAGAUUCACGAUGAAUGCUGUUUGAAGAAGAAUGAACAGAAUCACAUUUUAAUUUAAUCUCACUGCCAAUGUGGACUUAAAGAGGACGGGCUCUGUUAUGACAACUGUAUUUUUAAGUAACAGAGAUAAGGGUGUUAUUGGAAUCAUUUCAAUAAAAUAUGGGAGUACCGGUACAUACCAGUUUGAUAUCUUGAUUAGACUGGGACUUAAACUUAAACAACAACGAUAGAUAUUGGACCUCUCUAAUACACAUUAUAAACAUCUCAUGUCUUAAGUCAAUAACAAAGCUGUAAUAAGGCGAUAUUUAGUGUAAUUAACACUUAGGGCUAUUCUCCUAAAACAUAUAACCACCGGGUUUGGCAGAUUUUUAAUAAUAUAUGGUUGGGCUUUUUUGCUAAUUUGCACCCCAAAAGGCACAUUUGCUUUUGUAUGGGGUUGGCAUAAAAACUUAAUAAAUGCCUUCCCUCCAGUGGUUAUAUUUUUAAAUGGACAAAAUAUCAAACUGGUAUGUACCUUAUCAACAUUUUUAGCUGGACUAUUUGAAUAAUAAGGAGGGUUAUACCACUCGCCUCAGCAUCUGCUUUGGCUUUAGCGUCCGGUUAAAGUUUAAGACCAAGUUGGGAUUUUCACUCAUAGGGAUUUUCACUCAUAACUGCAAAACCCUUCAUUAAAGUCACUUAAUACUCAAUACAGUUGUUCAGGGUCAUUACAUAAUGAGGUUAAUACUUCAAUAGCCUUCAUUCAAUGGACUUAAUACCUUGCACAAUUAAUGAUGAACAUCUUACAAUAAGGUGACAUAACUCCAUUUUAACUAAAUACAAAUUAUUGCCCUUUUUUCAUUUUUAUUUCUUAUGUCAGGCACAUUUAUAUAUUCUUAACAGGGUUUUUGAAAGCUAAUUGUUUGGGCGGGCUGGUGGAAGGGUCUUCAAAGUCACCUUAUGUGUAAAAUAAUUUUAGCUAGGUUUGACAUAUAGUGACCAAACUUCGUAUGUAGGAAGCCUUUAUGAAGACCUUUCAUGAGAUUGCGUUUUAGGCUUCUGGGAUCAAUAUAAAGGUCAAAGUUACUAUUAAAAGCAAAAGAACUGGUAUUGAUUAACUUAAAGGUCGACAUAUUGUGACCAAACUUGGUUUAUAUGAAAGUUCAUACAGACUUUUUAUGCCCCCGAAGGUGGGCAUAUUAAAAUUGCACCGUCCGUCCGUCCGGCUCUGUAACUUUCCCUUGUAUGGACAGAUUUUAAAAUAACUUGCCAAAUGUGUUCCACAUACCAAGACGACGUGUGGCGUGCAAGACCCGUGUCCCUACCUCAAAGGUCAAGGUCACACUUAGUGUUUAUUCACAAUGGAGUGCUGCAUAUAAGGACAUAGAGUAUAGGUUGUCGUGUCCGGGCUGUAACUUUCUCUUGUAUGGACAGAUUUUAAAAUAACUUGCCACAUGUGUACCACAUACCAAGACGACGUGUCGCGUGCAAAACCCGUGUCCCUACCUCAAAGGACAAGGUCACACUUAGUGUUUAUUCACCAUAGAGUGCUGCAUAUAAGCAUAGAGUAUAGGUUGUCGUGUCCGGGCUGUAACUUUCCCUUGUAUGGACAGAUUUUAAAAUAACUUGCCACAUGUGUACCACAUACCAAGACGACGUGUCGCGUGCAAAACCCGUGUCCCUACCUCAAAGGACAAGGUCACACUUAGUGUUUAUUCACCAUAGAGUGCUGCAUAUAAGCAUAGAGUAUAGGUUGUCGUGUCCGGGCUGUAACUUUCCCUUGUAUGGACAGAUUUUAAAAUAACUUGCCACAUGUGUACCACAUACCAAGACGACGUGUCGCGUGCAAGACCCGUGUCCCUACCUCAAAGGUCAAGGUCACACUUAGUGUUUAUUCACAAUGGAGUGCUGCAUAUAAGGACAUAGAGUAUAGGUUGUUGUGUCCGGGCUGUAACUUUCCCUUGUAUGGAUAGAUUUUAAAAUAACUUGCCAAAUGUGUUCCACAUACCAAGACGACGUGUCGCGUGCAAAACCCGUGUCCCUACCUCAAAGGUCAAGGUCACACUUAGUGUUUAUUCACAAUGGAGUGCUGCAUAUAAG